Molecule: RNA transcript, 3659 nt
Organism: Lactuca sativa (garden lettuce)
Lineage: Eukaryota; Viridiplantae; Streptophyta; Magnoliopsida; Asterales; Asteraceae
Gene name: Protein kinase superfamily protein
Source: RefSeq, a predicted model, not a curated record
AUUUAUUUCUUUCACAUGGUACCGAUACCAAUAAUGCAUAUAUGAGUGACGAUUCUAAGGUUGGGCAGAAAUCCUUUGCAAGAUUCAAGACAAACCAUUGCGAUUUCUUUACUCCGUUUAACCUCACUCGCAAAUCGCAAUUCGUAUCGAAUCUAUAAUCCUCGCAAUCUCCUUCGAUUUUGCCCCUUUUUCUGCAAAUCCUAACCCUAGUUCCCCCAUGGCCAGCGACAACGAAGAACGUAAGCAUCGUCGUUCAUCUGACGACGAAUCUGAAGAACCCUCGAAACGCCGUAAGCACCGCCAUCACCGCCGCCGACACCACCGUCAUCAUAGUCGAAAGCACGACAAGCACGAAGACAGACGUGAAGAGGGCGAGGAAGAAACCACAGAUAUGCCUCCUCCUCCUCUUCCUCUUCUUUCGUCUGCUAAUUCUCAGCCCGAUUAUGACAUGGAAGAAGGAGAGAUUUUGGAAGAGGAUGGCGCUGAUGUCGGGGUGAAGAAGACUGCAGAUUCUGAUGCCGAGUCUGGAGAAAUCAAAAUGGAAACCCAUGGAGCUUUGGUAGUGCCCAACCAUAGUCAUCUUAAGGAGGAAAGUUUAAGCAAGGAGGAUAACAGUAAUGGGCAUAUGAGAAGUGUUUCCCCUGGUGGAAACGAUAACAUAAAGACCCUUUAUGAUGAGGAUCAUGAAACAAGGGCCCACAAAAAACAUCCAUCUAAUGACAACCAUUUGAAAACACAUAAAGACUCAUCAAGAAACCAUGCACAUGAAAGAAGCCGAGAAGAUGUUUCUACUACUAGUAGAUCUAGGUCUCAUGAGCAAGGUAGGGAGAGGUCACGUUCUAGAAGCAUUUCUCAUGGAGCAUCUCGCCUUGAAACACACAAAGAGGAUAUUGAGUAUUACACAAGCAGGAAACACAGUGGGGAUGCUGAUAUUGAAAGGACAAAUAAGCCCUCGAAGGACUACAAACAUGGGAGUAGAGAUUUGAUAAGGGACAAAGAAAGAGAGCGUAGUUCUAGUCAUAGCAGACAUAGUCUACAAGUAGAUAAGCAUCACAGUCGAGACCCUGGAGAGAGAAUUAGAGAGGGCAGCAGAGAUAGGGAGAGAGAUAGAGAUAGAGGGAGAGAUUUGAAAGAGAUUGAGAGAGAUAGAAUGAAAAAGAAGGAAGCUGAAGUGGAAAGGCUUAACAAAAGUAACAAGGAUUCAGAGCGAUAUAGAGACAGAGAAAGAGACAGAGAAAGAGAAAGAGAAAGAGAAAGAGACAGGGAUAAUAGAGACAGGAGAGAGAGGGAAAGGUGGGAUUUAGAGAGAGAUAGUAGAAGUAGAAGAAACUAUGAUUACAAUGAUAGGAACAAUGAUUACAAACAUCAUAGACCUGAAGAAACAGACUACAGAGAUAGAACUAGGAAAUAUGAUGGACAAAAGGGUGAAAGUCACAAAGGUGCACCUUCAGAUGUAGAUAUAGAGAAGACUAAAAGGGAGGAGGCUGAUGAAGAGAUGUAUCAAGAAAGAAGUUCUUUGCAAAUUGAGGAAGAUGAAGAAGAAGAUCUUAAUAGAAUAAAGGAGGAAAGUAGAAGGCGUAGACAAGCCAUUCUUGAAAAGUACAAGACUAAAUCAUUGAAACAGCAGCAGCAACAACCUGUGCCUCAAUUAGAGGAUACAUCUAAAGCAAAUUCAGGCACUCUUGAAGGUCAAGGUGAAUUGUCAGAUAGUAACACAGGAGACACUCCAUUUUCAGUUGGAAGAUCUCCUCCACAAAAUGGCGUUGAGAGGACAUCUGGCACAGGUGGACUUGGAGAGGGUACUCCAAAGAGUGAAAGAUCAAAUGGUGAUGAUAUAUUUGGGGAAUCUCCACCUCAUGCACGUGAAAGGAAAGAGGAAAGAUCAAACGACAUGUUCACUGAUGAUAUAUUUGGAGAAUCACCAACUGGAGUCCGAAAACCUGGAAAAGGAGAUGGUUUAGCCAUUCAAAGAAGUGGUCUUCAGGAUAACUGGGAUGAUGCAGAAGGCUACUACAGCUACCGUUUUGGAGAAGUACUUGAUAGCCGAUAUGAAGUUCUUGCAGCACAUGGGAAAGGUGUGUUUUCAACAGUGGUUCGUGCAAAAGAUCUGAAAGCAGGAUCCACUGAUCCAGAAGAAGUGGCAAUAAAAAUCAUCCGCAACAAUGACAAAAUGUAUAAGGCUGGAUUGGAAGAGCUGGUGAUACUGAAGAAGUUAGUAGGUGCUGACAUGGAGGACAGGAGGCACUGUGUGCGGUUUAUUUCUAGUUUCAAGUAUCGGAAUCAUCUUUGUUUAGUUUUUGAGUCUCUUCAUAUGAAUCUUCGUGAAGUAUUAAAGAAGUUUGGUAGAAAUAUUGGUCUUAAACUAACUGCUGUAAGGGCCUAUGCAAAACAGCUCUUCAUUGCUCUAAAACACCUUAGAAACUGUGGUGUCCUUCAUACUGACAUCAAGCCUGAUAACAUGCUGGUAAAUGAUGCGAAGAAUGUUCUAAAGCUUUGUGACUUUGGGAACGCCAUGUUUGCUGGGAAGAAUGAGAUCACACCAUACCUUGUGAGCCGCUUUUAUCGUGCCCCUGAAAUAAUUCUAGGUUUGACUUAUGAUCACCCUGUUGACAUGUGGUCUGUUGGCUGCUGUCUGUUUGAGCUCUACACUGGAAAAGUUCUCUUCCCUGGUGCCACAAACAAUGACAUGCUUCGCCUUCACAUGGAACUCAAAGGCUCUUUCCCUAAAAAAAUGCUUCGAAAGGGAGCGUUUACCGAACAGCAUUUUGAUUCGGAUCUUAACUUUGUUGCUAUAGAGGAGGACCCUGUUACCAAGAAGACUGUGAAGAGAUUGGUUAAUAUGAAGGCGAAAGAUAUCAGUUCAAUUGUUAUGAGCUCACCUGGAGAGGAUCUGAAAAUGGUAGCAAAUUUUAAGGAUCUUUUGGAGAAGAUAUUCAUUUUGGAUCCUGAUAAGAGGCUAACUGUACACCAGGCAUUGAGUCAUCCAUUCAUCACUGGAAAAUAACAGACUUUUUAUCAAUUUUAAUGAUAUAAAAUUUGAUUUUAGAUCUUUCUAAUCAUUGGACAUUUAUCUGUGUCUUUCUUUACCUAUGUGCUGACAUGGCGGAGGUACGCUGAAAUGGACGACCUGACCUGACCGGUUGGCAUUGGGAUGUGUACUGUGUUCUAUUGAAUCCAGCAGUGCUGUUAUGUAUAUGAGGCAGUGUUUAAAUGGCACUCUGGAGAAGGUAUUUUGGUUUGUUUGUUUGGAUAUUUUUCAGAAAAAUAUUUUCUUUUUCUUCAUGAGUUACUGGUGGUGGAAUGAAUGACAUAUGUUUCUUUCUCAUUGUAAAGUAUAGUUAUUAUAGAGUGUUUUUUUUUGUUACAUAUAAUUAAUUAAAGUUAAAAAUUAUAUUCUAAUGAUAUUCUGUUCCACCUGAUUCAUGGUUUGGUGCGUGUGUGUGCUGGAGGCUGGGGCUUUAAAGUAAAGACUACAUACAGAUACAGUCUCUUUGCAUCCAUCUUCAGCUUCUGUAAGUAAGAAAACUGAUUGUGUCUUGUUGUCUUUUUGCAUAAAUAGUCGAAUAGAUAGAUGAUAAGAUGAAUGUUUGGUAGUUAUAUUUUUUAUUGUGUAUUUUAUUUAUAAAAAUAAAUGUGGGGAGUAGGUGUUCUUGAGUGAA